UACUAGCGGUCCAAGUCGCAGCCAUCUUUAUUGGGUCUAAAACAUCCGUAGCUUGCUUAACAAGUUUCUUGUGAAAUCUUAUAUCUUAAGGAUAAGGCGUGCAAGAAAUACUAUUAAGCUAGAGACUGGAAGACGUAGAAAGUACAUUCAGAGUAGUGGCUAAAUACGUUAAUCCUGGAUGGACUAACAAGAGCGAAGGCAUUCUACGAGGACAGUUCUGACAGUAAGGGAUGAAGGCUAGGGGCGCGAAACGGAUUAGAUACCCGUGUAGUCCUAGCAGUAAACACUGCACACUAAACAUUAGUACCUCCUCGAGAGGUAUUAGUGCUGAAGGGAAGCCGAAGAGUGUGCUACCUGGGAAGUAUAGUCGCAAGGCCGAAACUUAAAGGAAUUGGCGGGGAGACACUACAAUGGGUGACGCGUGCGGUUCAAUCAGAUUCUACACCGUGAACCUUACCAGGACCGACAGCAGGAUGAAGGUCAGUCUAAAGGGCUUACCUGACACGCUGAGAGGAGUUGCAUGGCCGACGUCAGCCUGUGCCGUGAGGUGACCUGUUAAAUCAGGUAACAGGCAAGACCCACAUGUAUAUUUACUAUUCGUACUAUAUACAGAUUGCCUUGGUAACGAGGAUGAAAGUGUGGGCUACGUUAGGUGAGUACAGCCCGACAGCCCUGGGUUACACGCGCGCGUCAAUGGUGAAUACAACGGGACGCAACUCUGAAAGGAGAAGCUAAUCUCUUAAAGUUCAUCUUAGUUCAGAUUGAGGUUUGUAACUCAGCCUCAUGACGCUGGAAUCCAUAGUAAUCGUUUGUUAUCAACGAACGGUGAAUAUGUCACGGUCUCU
This 845-nucleotide ribosomal RNA is filed under the name uncultured archaeon. RNAcentral describes it as "SSU rRNA". It matches the Rfam family "Archaeal small subunit ribosomal RNA", at positions 474 to 1337 of the family's 1478-position model. The record is from RNAcentral.